This 320-nucleotide ribosomal RNA is filed under the name uncultured eukaryote. RNAcentral describes it as "SSU rRNA". It matches the Rfam family "Eukaryotic small subunit ribosomal RNA", at positions 587 to 909 of the family's 1831-position model. The record is from RNAcentral.
AGCUCCAAUAGCGUAUAUUAAAGUUGUUGCAGUUAAAAAGCUCGUAGUUGGAUUUCUGGUCUGGGCGUCCGGUCCGCCGCUGUGCGGUGUGUACUUGGUUCGACCCGGGCCUUCCUUGUGGGGAAUGUAUCUGGGCUUAAUUGGUCGGAUAUUGGAACCACAUCGUUUACUGUGAAAAAAUUAGAGUGUUUAAAGCAGGCAUUUGCUGUGAAUACAUUAGCAUGGAAUAAUAAGAUAGGACUUUGGUUCUAUUUUGUUGGUUGGAGGCCAAGGUAAUGAUUAAUAGGGAUAGUUGGGGGUAUUCAUAUUUAAUUGUCAGA